This 385-nucleotide ribosomal RNA is filed under the name uncultured bacterium. RNAcentral describes it as "bacterial SSU rRNA". It matches the Rfam family "Bacterial small subunit ribosomal RNA", at positions 30 to 416 of the family's 1533-position model. The record is from RNAcentral.
AUUGAACGCUGGCGGAAUGCUUUACACAUGCAAGUCGAACGGUAGAGGGGGCAACCCCUUGAGAGUGGCGAACGGGUGAGUAAUAUAUCGGAACGUGCCCAGUCGUGGGGGAUAACGUAGCGAAAGUUACGCUAAUACCGCAUACGAUCUAAGGAUGAAAGCGGGGGACUCGCAAGAGCCUCGCGGCGAUUGGAGCGGCCGAUAUCAGAUUAGGUAGUUGGUGGGGUAAAGGCUCACCAAGCCAACGAUCUGUAGCUGGUCUGAGAGGACGACCAGCCACACUGGAACUGAGACACGGUCCAGACUCCUACGGGAGGCAGCAGUGGGAAUUUUGGACAAUGGGCGCAAGCCUUGAUCCAGCAAUGCCGCGUGCAGGAUGAAGGCC